Molecule: ribosomal RNA, 433 nt
Filed under: uncultured bacterium
Lineage: Bacteria
Description: partial 16S ribosomal RNA
Rfam family: Bacterial small subunit ribosomal RNA
Source: RNAcentral
AACGAACGCUGGCGGCAUGCCUAACACAUGCAAGUCGAACGAGACCUUCGGGUCUAGUGGCGCACGGGUGCGUAACGCGUGGGAACCUGCCCUUAGGUUCGGAAUAACUCCCCGAAAGGGGUGCUAAUACCGGAUAAUGUCUUCGGACCAAAGAUUUAUCGCCUGUGGAUGGGCCCGCGUUGGAUUAGCUAGUUGGUAGGGUAAAAGCCUACCAAGGCGACGAUCUAUAGCUGGUCUGAGAGGAUGAUCAGCCACACUGGGACUGAGACACGGCCCAGACUCCUACGGGAGGCAGCAGUGGGGAAUAUUGGACAAUGGGCGAAAGCCUGAUCCAGCAAUGCCGCGUGAGUGAUGAAGGCCUUAGGGUUGUAAAGCUCUUUUACCCGGGAUGAUAAUGACAGUACCGGGAGAAUAAGCUCCGGCUAACUCCGUG